UGGGUGUUUUUUGCCCUGGAGAAUUCAGAU
RNAcentral lists this non-coding RNA (30 nucleotides) under Homo sapiens (human). Lineage: Eukaryota; Metazoa; Chordata; Mammalia; Primates; Hominidae. The record is from RNAcentral.